Molecule: non-coding RNA, 23 nt
Organism: Drosophila melanogaster (fruit fly)
Lineage: Eukaryota; Metazoa; Arthropoda; Insecta; Diptera; Drosophilidae
Source: Ensembl
AGUAGAAUAGCAGGCUUAUCACA